GAUUCCUACGGGGGGCAGCAGUGGGGAAUAUUGGGCAAUGGGCGCAAGCCUGACCCAGCAACGCCGCGUGAAGGAAGAAGGCUUUCGGGUUGUAAACUUCUUUUCUCAGGGACGAAGCAAGUGACGGUACCUGAGGAAUAAGCCCCGGCUAACUACGUGCCAGCAGCCGCGGUAAUACGUAGGGGGCAAGCGUUGUUCGGAAUGACUGGGCGUAAAGGGUGUGUAGGCGGGGUAGCAAGUUAGAAGUGAAAUACCUAGAGCUUAACUCCGGUGCUGCUUCUAAAACUGCUUUACUUGA
Molecule: ribosomal RNA, 298 nt
Filed under: uncultured bacterium
Lineage: Bacteria
Description: partial 16S ribosomal RNA
Rfam family: Bacterial small subunit ribosomal RNA
Source: RNAcentral